GAGACCGAACACGGGCGCCCCACAGCGAGGGGCUGAGACCGCGCUACUGCUCGCGCGGGCACCGUCUGAACCUGUCUGGUUAGCACCAGCGAAGGAAGUUGAAGGAGUGUCAUG
RNAcentral lists this non-coding RNA (114 nucleotides) under Corynebacterium timonense. RNAcentral describes it as "TPP sequence". It matches the Rfam family "TPP riboswitch aptamer (THI element)". Rfam says of the family: Vitamin B(1) in its active form thiamin pyrophosphate (TPP) is an essential coenzyme that is synthesised by coupling of pyrimidine and thiazole moieties in bacteria. The previously detected thiamin-regulatory element, thi box was extended, resulting in a new, highly conserved RNA secondary structure, the THI element, which is widely distributed in eubacteria and also occurs in some archaea. Analysis of operon structures identified a large number of new candidate thiamin-regulated genes, mostly transporters, in various prokaryotic organisms. Lineage: Bacteria; Bacillati; Actinomycetota; Actinomycetes; Mycobacteriales; Corynebacteriaceae. The record is from Rfam by way of RNAcentral.